Long non-coding RNA from Pipra filicauda (Wire-tailed manakin), 399 nucleotides. RefSeq lists it as uncharacterized. The transcript is spliced from 3 exons. The record is from RefSeq and is a predicted model, not a curated record. NCBI's taxonomy places the organism in Eukaryota, Metazoa, Chordata, Aves, Passeriformes, Pipridae.
UCCCAGCUCCUCACAACUUUCCCAUGCACAAAAACCAGGGCUUCAAAGCCAUUAGAGCCUGAGCUCCACGAGCUGGAGCUUACAGGGCUCAGGUGGAACUGUGUUAAGCAUAAAUCCUUCGGGCUUUUGUCCUGGGAUAGAGUAGCGGAAACACAGACGACUCUGCAGACAGACCGUGUGCAAAGUUAAUAAACUCGGUGCUGCACAGAUUGCCUGGUGAACCUGCCAACAGGUGAACAGCCUCAAUCCGCAACGGGUAUAAAUAAUCACCAGCCCUCAAAAGCAGGUAUUCUGGGUCACUAUUAAGAGCCCUUUCAAGUCAGCAAAGUUCAGCCAAGCCUACCUUAAUCCCAAACCUUUAAAAGAAACAAUAAAACACGGAAAGGGGGUGGAAGACGA